Molecule: ribosomal RNA, 579 nt
Filed under: uncultured Alphaproteobacteria bacterium
Lineage: Bacteria; Pseudomonadati; Pseudomonadota; Alphaproteobacteria
Description: bacterial SSU rRNA
Rfam family: Bacterial small subunit ribosomal RNA
Source: RNAcentral
AGACAUAUCUGCAGUCGAGAUUCUACGGGAGGCAGCAGUGGGGAAUCUUGCACAAUGGAGGAAACUCUGAUGCAGCGAUGCCGCGUGAGUGAAGAAGGCCUUUGGGUUGUAAAGCUCUUUCGUCGGGGAAGAAAAUGACUGUACCCGAAUAAGAAGGUCCGGCUAACUUCGUGCCAGCAGCCGCGGUAAUACGAAGGGACCUAGCGUAGUUCGGAAUUACUGGGCUUAAAGAGUUCGUAGGUGGUUGAAAAAGUUGGUGGUGAAAUCCCAGAGCUUAACUCUGGAAUUGCAAUUAAAACUAUUUAGCUGGAGUAUGAUAGAGGAAAGCGGAAUACAUAGUGUAGAGGUGAAAUUCGUAGAUAUUAUGUAGAACACCAGUUGCGAAGGCGGCUUUCUGGAUCAUUACUGACGCUGAGAUACGAAAGUAUGGGUAGCGAAGAGGAUUAGAUGCCCUCGUAGUCCAUACCAUAAACGAUGAUUAUUAGAUGUGGGGAAUUAUUUCUCUGUAUCAUAGCUAACGCGUUAAAUAAUCCGCCUGGGGAGUACGACCGCAAGGUUAAAACUCAAAUGAAUUGACGG